This 495-nucleotide ribosomal RNA is filed under the name uncultured bacterium. RNAcentral's name for it is "partial 16S ribosomal RNA". It matches the Rfam family "Bacterial small subunit ribosomal RNA", at positions 28 to 507 of the family's 1533-position model. The record is from RNAcentral.
GACGAACGCUGGCGGCGUGCCUAAUACAUGCAAGUAGAACGCCGACGGAGGAGCUUGCUUCCCUGGAUGAGUUGCGAACGGGUGAGUAACGCGUAGGUAACCUGCCUGGUAGCGGGGGAUAACUAUUGGAAACGAUAGCUAAUACCGCAUAAGAGUAGAUGUUGCAUGACAUUUGCUUAAAAGGUGCAAUUGCAUCACUACCAGAUGGACCUGCGUUGUAUUAGCUAGUUGGUGGGGUAACGGCUCACCAAGGCGACGAUACAUAGCCGACCUGAGAGGGUGAUCGGCCACACUGGGACUGAGACACGGCCCAGACUCCUACGGGAAGCAGCAGUAGGGAAUCUUCGGAAAUGGACGGAAGGCUGAGCGAGAAACGCCGCGUGAGUGAAGAAGGUUUUCGGAUCGUAAAGCUCUGUUGUAAGAGGAGAACGAGUGUGAGAGUGGAAAGGUCACACUGUGACGGUACCUUACGAGAAAGGGACGGCUAACUACGUG